GCUCCAUUAGCUCAGUAGGUAGAGCACACGACUUUUAAUCGUGUGGCCGUGGGUUCUAGCCCCACAUGGAGUA
Non-coding RNA from Seminavis robusta, 73 nucleotides. The record is from the annotation of a GenBank genome assembly. NCBI's taxonomy places the organism in Eukaryota, Bacillariophyta, Bacillariophyceae, Naviculales, Naviculaceae.